Molecule: non-coding RNA, 66 nt
Organism: Pangasianodon gigas (Mekong giant catfish)
Lineage: Eukaryota; Metazoa; Chordata; Actinopteri; Siluriformes; Pangasiidae
Source: the annotation of a GenBank genome assembly
GGGGGGCUUAGCGGUUAGCACUCUUGCCUCGCACCUACGGGGUUGGGGGUUCGAAUCCCACCUCCA